AUACAGGUGACAUGUCCCAAAUAGGACGAAAUGCGCAUCCUGGAU
Molecule: non-coding RNA, 45 nt
Filed under: Trichobilharzia regenti
Lineage: Eukaryota; Metazoa; Platyhelminthes; Trematoda; Strigeidida; Schistosomatidae
Source: RNAcentral